RNAcentral lists this long non-coding RNA (428 nucleotides) under Elaeis guineensis (African oil palm). RNAcentral's name for it is "long non-coding RNA (EGUI_LNC028433)". Lineage: Eukaryota; Viridiplantae; Streptophyta; Magnoliopsida; Arecales; Arecaceae. The record is from RNAcentral.
UGGACCUUUAUGAGGCAUCCCUUGGGUGUACUUUGGGAUGUGUUUAUAUGGGUGUAAGGGCUCUAAGAGUUGGUGCCUAAAAGGAUUUCUAAAGAAAGUUGAAUAACCUAAGUUAAUAAGAAACCUAAUACAAGUAGGACUUAUAUUAUGAGAUUGAAUAGGAUUCAAUCUUUAUGGCUAUUUAAAGAGACCUCUCCUAAGAUUCUUAAGCAUCUAAACCAGCAAAUUCAAGCCAAAUCCAUAUUUGAAUUUGGAGUCGGACCUCCCCAAUGGCUAUUAUUCAUUUUUAACCAGCUAAAAGCAAAUUCAAGCCAUUCUAACUAACAUGGAAAAAUGAAGAAAUAGUUUUUUUUUUGUAGCUAUAGGUAACAUCGCCAUAUUCCAAGAUACUACAUAUAAAGACCAUAUGAUCAAGUAAGUUAAUAUAU